CGUGUGCCUAGCCUGACGGGGCGAACGUGGGAUUCCUUUCACCCACUGGCACACCUUAUUCUUGAAAGG
Molecule: non-coding RNA, 69 nt
Filed under: unclassified sequences
Description: int-alpA RNA
Rfam family: int-alpA RNA
About the family: Acidobacteria (1 example), Planctomycetes (1 example), Proteobacteria. Environment (Lake Washington)
Source: Rfam by way of RNAcentral